GUAUCAGUUGUCAGUGUCAGGUGUCAUUUUGGAAAGUCGAUUCGGCAUCGGACGAUAUGAUUUUGACAAGUAGAUUUAUGCCACAUGUUCAAAUAUUAUUGGGUCAGAGUUGUUUAUUAGGAUAGAGGUGAUGUGGCUUGAUCUGGGGCAGAUGCGUCGAACCGUCCGAUCAAUGGUCGGUCUAGAUUUGACCGCCUUCAUCUUGGCUGUUGGAAAAUCCUAUAUAUAUAGGGGCGCUCUUAGCUAAAUUUUUACUUUUCGUUGUCUUUGGUGUCGGAACUCUGC
RNAcentral lists this long non-coding RNA (285 nucleotides) under Elaeis guineensis (African oil palm). RNAcentral describes it as "long non-coding RNA (EGUI_LNC001508)". The record is from RNAcentral. Lineage: Eukaryota; Viridiplantae; Streptophyta; Magnoliopsida; Arecales; Arecaceae.